AUGAGAGAUCUCACAGGCAAAGGAGUCAAAGUCACAGACAUGAAUUCAUGUUUUGUGGACUUUAAAUCAGGGAAUUGUUCCUUUAGAAUUCAACGUUGCUUAAAGAUUGCAAGUCGGAAUACAGAAGAUCCAACCUUCCUUGCAAUUUUUUACCCUUUUAUCUUACAACCAGGGAAAAGAUACACAAGUUUAGCUCAGAAGAAAGAAAUCCGUGGUGACUCUGCAGAACAUACCCAAGGUUGUCAUCACUUUGCCAGAAGGCCUGGGUGCUUGGAGAGCAAUAACAAAUCAUCAGCGUUAAUGAUGGGAUGCAGGAAAGGAAGCAAGAAAACAUUUGCCAUAAUAGAUUGGCCUUUCCCCAACCCACAGAUCUUUGCAUUAAAUGAUCCCAUUUUCCUUGAAAGCCUCUUUGUAAAAAAUGGAAAUAAAGCAGAGCCAUUCAGCAUAAUAACAUUAAGAAUGGUACUUAAAAGAGACAAAAUAACACAGCAUGAAAAAACAAAUAAGAUGGUCUCCAAUUUCUUCCAAUAAUCUAGGAUAAACAAUGCCUCUUGUAGUUGUUUAUGAUGCAUUUUUCAAUCUAAAACUCUGCAGGGCAGUUUUAGUAAGAGGCAAGGUUAGAGAGAUAUUUUUAUUUCUACCUAAAUUUGCAUUCAUUUAACAUUCUGCUUUCAUGUACAGAAAUAAUACUGCCUGCUGCUUUAAGUAUAUAAUUUUCUUCAUCCACUCGAUCUCUUGACUACAGUGUGCAAUUGUUUUAGAAAGAAAAUGUGUUAAAAUGUUUAUUUGCUAAUUAUCCCUCUUCACAGAAGUACACUUAUAUGAAAUCUAGAAUCCUAAUAAAAUACAAUUCUUCAAUCCAGAAAUCUACAGAACAAGUGUGUGUGUGUGUGUGUGACCAUCACUGGAACAAUACAGGUUAUUCUUUUCCUCUGGACUGAGUCUAAUUUAGUUCUUUGGGUCUUACUUCUAAAUAGAGACACACAUAACUAGGAAAAGAGUCUGUUUUGCAAAACAACUCCUAGAAUCCCACCGCUACCACGUUCAUUGGCCAUGAUGGCUAUGGAAUACCAGUAGUCUCCAAAUGUCAUUCUUCCAAGCUUUGGAAAUUUGCUCUUAAUCAGUGGUUUUCAACCUUCCUAAUGCUGCGACCCCUUAAUACAGUUCCUCAUGUUACAGUGAUCACCAACCCUAAAAUUAUUUUUGUUGCUCCUUCAUAGCUGUAAUUUUGCUAUUGUUAUGAAUUUUAAUGUAAACAUCUGAUAUGCAGGAUGUAAGUUCAUUCACCGGACCAAAUUUGGAACAAAUACCCGAUAUGCCCAUAUUUAAAUAGUGGUAGGGCUGGGGGGGGGGGGUUGAUUUUGUCAUUUGGGAGUUGUCGUUGCUGGGAUUUAUAGUUCGGCUACAAUCAAAGAGCAUUAUGAACUCCACCAACAAUAGAAUUGAAUCAAACUUGGCACACAGAACUCCCCAUGACCAACAGAAAAUACUGGAAGUGUUUGCUGGGCCCUGACCUUGAAUUUUGGAGUUGUAGUUCACCUACAUCCAGAGACCACUGUGGACUCAAACAAUGAUGGAUCUGGACCCAACAUAACAAGAAUACUCAAUGUGACCAAAUGUGAACAUUGGUGGAGUUUGCGGAAAAUAGACCCUAACAUUUGGGAGUUGUAGUUGCUGAGAUUUAUAGUUCACCUACAAUCAAAGAGCAUUCCGAACUCCACCAAUAAUGGAGUUGAACCAAACUUGGCACACAGAACUCCCAUGACCAACAGAAAAUACUGGAAGGGUUUGGUCGGCAUUGACCUUGAGUUUUGGAGUUGUAGUUCACCUAUAGCCAGUCUUCUCUGCCAAAGGGGUUCCUAAGACCAUCAGAAAUAUGUGUUUUCUGAUGGUCUUUGUCGACCCCUCUGACACCCCCCUCAUGACCCCCCCAGGGCUCCCAACCCCCACAUUGAUUUAGUUCAAAUUAAUUCCAAAGCAGGUAACUUCCGCUAGGCUUGCAAAUGCCUUCCAGCUGUAAUUGUCCUCUUCCAUGCCCCUCUGACAAAGAUAUUUUCCAUAGAAGGCAUCACUGCCUUCAUCCUGGCUCUCAAGUAAAAAUGUGUCUGUUAUGUUAUACUGGCCAAAUAUGAGUCACAGAAUGCUUUACUUGGAAUUUUGCUUGGCUGUCAGUUCUCUUCCAAUGCUUCCCAAGAAUGUAGCUAGUUCAGUGUUGCUCUCUAAAUAACUUCUCUGUCCUUACAAGGUGUUUCCAUAAAAUCUAUUUAAUUUCUGUUGAUAAAUUGGAGUCUUUGUCCCUUUCAGCACUUCACAAUCAGUGACGUGCUGGAUUUUUCAUUUGAAAAUUUAGCCCUGUCCCAUUUCUGGCCUUUAGAAAUCCACAAUCUCUGUGCUG
Molecule: long non-coding RNA, 2395 nt
Organism: Anolis carolinensis (green anole)
Lineage: Eukaryota; Metazoa; Chordata; Lepidosauria; Squamata; Anolidae
Source: Ensembl